UUUUUUUUUUCCAGAAUAGAACAAGAGUGGUCUCUAUUCCAGUUCCAAAUACGAUCCUUGUUCCCCUGUGCCACCUCACGAGCACAGUCUUCACUGUCUGGUCUUCGGAGCUCCCACCAGAAUCACCCAUUCGACUCCACUUAUAACACUCUACGCUUCCCCAGCUUGCAUUUCUAAGCUUUUCAAACUCUUCUGGCAAAUCCGUUCCCAAGGCUCUGAACCACAUGGUCAGAUUAGUCACAGCAAAGACCCCACUUCUCAGGACUGACUUCUGUUUUAGUCAGCUUCUUGUUGCUAUGACCAAAACACCUGACAAGAACCAUUUCUGUGUUAGUUGGCUUCUCACCAUUGUGAUCAGAGUACACAACAAGACCGAUUGAGAGGAUGAAAAGUAUUUUUGUGUGGGGGUUCAGAGGUUUAAGUCCACAGUGGUCAACUCUAUUGCUCUGGGCUGCAGGUGAGACAGAACCUACAGUGAAGGGUGAGUACUGCUCACCUCAUGGUGACCAGACAGACAGGGGAAGGGGCUUCAGGGAGGGUACACCAGGGCAAACCUCCAGUGACCCCCUCUUUCAGCUGUGGCCCACCUGCCUGCAGGGACCACAGUCAGUCCGUUCAAACUAGGAUGAACUAAGUUACAGCUCUCGUCAUCCAAUAACUUCACCUCUGAAUAUUCCUGAAUCAACACAGGAGAUUGGGAGGAACACCUCGUUUCCAAACCCUAACAGGUCCUUCCAGGGGCCCUUCUCUGUCUCUCUCUCCAUGCCUUCUCGGUAUCCUGUGGGAUGGUGGCAAUGACCCCAUGCACUGUCCAGGAGGGUCUCCUAGAGCACCCUGCCCACUAAGCAGGCCUUGGUGCCCACUCCCCUUCCCGCUCCUGCAGGAAGGUACCUGCAGAUACAGUUUGGCACCUCCUUCCUCCCUCCUCUGUCCCCAAGCCCCCGGCGUGGGGAGUACAUGGGGAGCCCUUCCUGGCUAAAGGGGAGGCGCUGAGGGGGUUGGCUGGAGUCAGCAUCCUGGGGCACACCCCCCCCCUUGCCCUCCCCGUGGUCUCAAGCCACGAAAGACAGGAGCUGAAAGUUCCCCUGGAUGAGGCAUGGCUGCUGGAGAAGAUGGACCAGGAACUUGAAAUACGCACGGAAAAAAUAAAGCCCAGUGGUAGGUGUGCCUAGGAGAAGGAGGAGGAGCGUGGUCAGGAAGGGACCAGUCGCAGGACAGAACCUGCAGCAAAGCCAGUGAGGGAGAAGUGAGAGAGGCCAGAGGGAGACCAAGGCCCAACAAGACCCCGCCCAGGGGUCCCCGUGCUGUCCAGGCCUGCCGCUCCCCAGCAGUUCUGCAGGCCGCUCCUCCCGAAUGCCUGGAAUCCGUGCGUCUACCUGCGCACGGUUAACCAACACCUGAAAUUUUUAUUGUUAAAGAGAUACGGUAUUUGAAGACACCUGUAAAUCAGGGGACUGCGCAGUGCUUUCUACUGAUGCAGUGACGAAGACCACCCAGCCUAAGCAUGCUAGGAGGGACGAGAGCACCAGAUCCCAUCUUGAGAUCACCAGACCGAGAUCCUCCCUCCACGUCUCUCCCUGCCCACCCCUCACCAAGUUUCCUUAAAAAAAAAGAAAGAAAGAAAAUAAAAUCUGGGAGUUCCACAGAUGCAUCUCACACCCUUGAGAUGGCCUGCUUCUCCCUCGAAUGCGUAUUCACCUCCUAAAUAAACCUCUGUUUGGGCCUUUGACUGAGGUCAGAGGGAGACUUACUGGACAGGUGAGACCCUGGCCAGUGGGAGCCCAACUUGGGAGAAUGAUCAUUAAAAUCAUGGGGGACCUUGUAGACGUGGACAAGCUUCAGGAACACAAGGCUGGUGCGUCUGAACCUCCCAGUGCGUCUGAACCUUAUAAUCCCUAAGGGAAUGACAGGCUCCAGACCAUGUCACCACAGUCUCUUGUGACCAGAUCACCAGGACCUCCCUUAUUGCCAACAUCAUGCAACAACUACCCCUUGUGACUGGGUCAUCAUGGCCCUCACAUAGGAAACUUGCUCAAGGCUACCCCAAGGGAUCAUCAGCCACUUACGGGGUCCAAGAGAACAGAACAAGAUCAAAGAAGCCCAAAUCUCUUCAAGCCCCCAAAUCUCCAAGGGCCGUUCCCUUCAGAGAUGGUCCAGGCCAGUCGGCACCUGUUCUACAUGCUGAUUUCUCUUAUGCUCACUUUCCCAAAAUCCUGCUGCCACAUGCAACUUAUCUGCAAUCCUUCCUGCGAGAUUUUAAGAACCCUCUGCAACACCAAGACACGCAAGACCCAGCUUGAGUAGUGCUAGAAAGAAAGUUAUAACAUGCAACAGAUUCAGCCAGGGGUGGAGGGACAUGCCUCUAUCCCAGUGACUCAUGAGAACAAGGCAGGGGGAUUGCAGGUUUGAGACCAGCGUGGCAACUUUGUGAGAUUCUGUCACAAAAUACAUGGAAAUUGAAAGGGCCAGGGAUGUAACUCCAAGGAAGAGCACUUUCCUAGCAUGUGUGAGGCUCUGGGUUCCAUCCACAGUACCAUGAAUACAGACAAAGAAAAGAUUAAAAACUAUAGAGGUGUACUGUGAAUAAUGUGUUUAUUUAAAAUAAUAAACCCCCAAACCUAGAUGAAAUAGAUAAAUUCCUUGAA
This 2645-nucleotide long non-coding RNA is filed under the name Marmota monax (woodchuck). Lineage: Eukaryota; Metazoa; Chordata; Mammalia; Rodentia; Sciuridae. The record is from RNAcentral.